UCCGCGCUCCCGGGGGGGGUCUCCGCGCUCCGGGGGGGGGUCUCCGCGCCCCGAGGGUCUCCGCGCUCCGGGGGUCUCCGCGCUCCGGGUCUCGCUCUGGGUCUCAGCUGCAUCGAGGUCUGCACGGGACGAACCCAAAGAGAAGAGACUGUGUGAGAGCCAGGGGAGGGGCAGAGGCAGAGAGAGAGAGAGAAAAUCUUAAGCAGAUUCCACUGUAAUCACAGAACGUGAAGGGGGGCUCAAUCUCAAGAUUGCGAGAUCAUGACCUGAGCCCAAGUCAAGAGUCACGUGCUGAGCCACCCAGGUGCCCCUCAGAUCAGCAUCUUAAGCAGGACUCCUCCUGCUUGAAGGGCGGCACUGAGAGAGAGGUGGGUGCCCUGGAUCCUGAUCGCCUCCUGCCAGGAAGAUACAUGUAGCCAAAGAUGAAUGUGGGCAAAGCAGUCCCUCGUUCCUUUAGCCAUGGAAAAGCAGAGUCACGGUGAGAUGGGGAUAAUCCCAUCAGAGUCUCACUCCCACAUUAAAUUGCUGAAAAUCAACCGGGAACUUCUGGUCACUCACAUCCGCAACACCCAGUGUCUGGUGGACAACUUGCUGGAGAAUGACUACUUCUCUUCCGAAGAUGCGGAGAUCGUGGGUGCCUGCCCCACGCAGCCCGACAAGGUUCGCAAAAUUCUGGACCUGGUACAGAGCAAGGGUGAAGAAGCAUCUGAGUUCCUCCUCUACGUGCUCCAACAACUCGAAGACGCUUAUGUGGAUCUCAGGCCUUGGCUGUCGGAGAUUGGCUUCUCCCCGUCAGAGCUUAUUCAGAGCAAAGUUGUCGUCAACACCGACCCAGUAAGCAGGUACACGGAGAAGCUGCGACAGCAACUGGGCCGGGAUUCCAAGUUCGUCUUGUGCUACGCCCAGAAGGAGGAGCUGCUGCUGGAGGAGACGUACACCGACACCAUCGCGGAGCUGGUGGGCCUCAAGGACGAGAGCCUGGGCCCUCUGGGCAGCCUGGCCUGCCUCCUGGACCGCUCCAGCGGCGUCCUCAGCGAGCAGGGCGAGACCAUCUUCAUCUGCGGCGACGCGGGCAUGGGCAAGUCCAUGCUGCUGCAGCGGCUGCAGAGCCUGUGGGCCGCGCGGCGGCUGGACGCCCAGUUCAAGUUCUUCUUCCACUUCCGCUGCCGCGUGUUCAGCUGCUUCAAGGAGGGUGACGCGCUGUGCCUGCAGGACCUGCUCUUCAAGCAUUACUGCUACCCGGAGCAGGACCCCGACGAGGUGUUCGCCUUCCUGCUGCGCUGCCCGCACGCGGCCCUCUUCACCUUCGACGGCCUGGACGAGCUGCACUCGGACUUCGACCUGAGCGGCGCCCCUGACACCUCCUCCCCCUGGGAGCCCGCCCACCCGCUGGUCCUGCUGGCCAACCUGCUCAGCGGGAAGCUGCUCAAGGGCGCCGCCAAGCUGCUCACGGCCCGCACGGGCGUCGAGAUCCCGCGCCAGCUCCUCCGCAAGAAGGUGCUUCUGCGCGGCUUCGCCCCCAGCCACCUGCGGGCCUACGCCCGGAGGAUGUUCCCCGACCGGACGGUGCAGCAGCACCUGCUGGCCCAGCUGGAGGCCAACCCCAACCUCUGCAGCCUGUGCGCCGUGCCCCUCUUCUGCUGGAUCAUCUUCCGCUGUUUCCAGCACUUCCACAGCGUGUGGGACAGCGCGGCGCAGCUGCCCAGCCGCACGGUGACCCUGACCGAUGUCUUCCUGCUGGUCACCGAGGUCCACCUGAACAGGACGCAGCCCACCAGCCUGGUGCAGCGGAACACGCGGAGCCAGGUGGAGACCUUCCGUGCCAGCCGGGGCACCUUGCGCUCGUUGGGGCAGGUGGCCCACGGGGGCAUGGAGAAGAGCCUCUUUGUCUUUGGCCAGGAGGAGGUGCAGGCGGCCGAGUUUCAGGAGGGGGAGCUGCAGCUGGGCUUCCUGCGGGCCGUGCCAGAGCCGGGCGUGGGCGGCGACCAGCAGUCUUACGAGUUUUUUCACAUCACCCUCCAGGCCUUCUUUACCGCCUUCUUUCUCGUGGUGGACGACCAGGUGGGCACUCAGCAGCUGCUCAGGUUCUUUCAGGAGUGGGCGCCUCCCGGGGAGGCGGGAGCAGAGUCCUGCUAUCCCCCCCUCCUCCCCUUCCAGUGCCUGAAGGGCGGUGGCCUGGCGGGGGAAGACCCCUUCAAGAACAAGGAUCACUUUCGGUUCACUAACCUCUUCCUGUGCGGCCUGUUGUCCAAGGCCAAAGAGAAACUCCUGCGGCACCUGGUGCCCCCCGCUGCCCUGCGCAGAAAGCGCAAGGCCCUGUGGGCACACCUGCUUGCCAGCCUGCGGGCCCACCUGAAGAACCUGCCCCGAACUCAGUCCGGGGGCUUCAGCCAAGUACAGGCCAUGCCCACCUUCAUCUGGAUGCUGCGCUGCAUCUACGAGACCCAGAGCGAGAAGGUGGGCCGGCUGGCGGCCAAGGGCAUCUGCGCCAACUACCUCAAGCUGACCUACUGCAACGCGUGCUCCGCCGACUGCAGCGCCCUCUCCUUCGUCCUGCACCACUUCCGCAAGCGGCUUGCCCUCGACCUGGACAACAACAAUCUCAACGACUACGGCGUGAGGGAGCUGCAGCCCUGCUUCAGCCGCCUCACCGUCCUCAGACUCAGCGUAAACCAGAUCACUGACAGUGGGGUAAAGGUGCUAUAUGAAGAGCUGACCAAAUACAAAAUUCUGACGUUCUUAGGCCUGUACAGCAACCAGAUCACGGAUGUGGGAGCCAGGUACGUCGCCAGAAUCCUGGAUGAGUGCAAAGGCCUCACACACCUGAAGCUGGGGGAGAACAAGAUAACGAGCGAAGGGGGAAAGUGCCUCGCCCUGGCCGUGAGGAACAGCAGCUCCAUCUUAGAAAUCGGGAUGUGGGGUAACAGAAUCGGCGAUGAAGGAGCAAAGGCCUUUGCAGAGGCUCUGAGGAACCACCCCAGUCUGACCAACCUCAGUCUUGCAUUCAACGGCAUCUCCACAGAAGGAGGAAAGAGCCUCGCGCAGGCCCUGCAGCGGAACACCUCUCUGAGAAUAUUCUGGCUCACCAAAAAUGAACUUGAUGAUGAAGUGGCAGAGAGCUUGGCAGAGAUGUUGAAAGUCAACCAGACGUUGAAACAUUUGUGGCUUAUCCAGAACCAGAUCACAGCCAAGGGGAUUGCCCAGCUGGCGGAUGCCUUACAGAAGAACACUGGCAUAACGGAGAUUUGGCCAUAAGAACGAGGUGGUGUUACGGUGCCUCUGGUCUCCCAUGAGUGUGAGAUGCCUCUAGUCACAGACCUGCUAAUUAAUCUGUGACAUCAGGCAGGUGCUAAUGGGAUGAGAUUUUUCCAGCACUAAGGAGCAACGAAGGUUGAAGCAACAAAGGCCCCUUAUGGGCUGGGAUCUUUUUGUAAGAAACUUUCCUUAGAGCUGGCAUGGCUGGACAGAGUGCUGCUUGUAACUGUGCAUCUUGCAUCCCCGGUCUAUUGGACUGACCACCAAGACGCACCCUAACCCUGCAGAGAAGCCAGGAGGCUGAUGUCAUCAGAAAUCGUCCCUUCUGCUGGCUGGAUGGCAGAUGUCCCAGGGUCUCUAUGUUGCAGCAGAACGGAGAUUAGUAUCCUGCCCACUGUGCCAACCAAAGGGAAGGAAAAAUUCUUCCCCUACCCUUCAAGGUCUUCCAGCUGGACUGAGAAUUAAAUUUACAUAAAACAGAUUAACCAGAGGAAUAAACCCAAGUUUUAUUACGUGUGCACAAGCGGGCCAAUAAUGAAAUUGAGAGCUAAAGAAAUGACCAAGCCUAAAUGGAAACUUGAUAAAGCCAGAAGAGGCCAAAGUCUUUGAAGAUGAGAAGAGGAUUGUCUGCUUCUGAGAGGCCACUUCUAUGUGGGGGGUCCGGGAGAGCCCACUGCCUCGAUGACCCAGAUGAGCCUCCCUGUGUAGCUGUUACAAUUUUACAGGGCAGGAGUGUGCCUGGAGAGCCGUUUUAGUUACUGUAAAUACACUAUGAAGAGACAUAAGGCACAUCCAGGGUUAUUUUUAUCGGACAUUAGAGGACGACUGAGCUCAAACACGGCCCUCAGGUCCAGGGCAGUGAGUUGGUCAUGCUGCCUUCAUGGAAGAGGACAUGGUUUAGAGUUAGUGCCAAGCUUCUUGGAGAAAAGGUGCUCAACGAACAAGUGUUUUACCUGGAAAUUCUCUUCCUCCUCAGGUCUUCCCCAUACGUUGACCAUCUGCCCACAUCACAGCUGCGGAUACUGAGGAAUGUGCAGAGUCGGGAUUUGAUAUGUCCACCGUUUUGCCAAAACAAGGGCUCUUCGUAGGCUUUUGUUUUACUCCUGGAGUCUCAGGGUCUGUUGAUAGAGAUCACGGGGUACCCCCUAAGCAGGCUUAAGAGAUAGGGUGAUGUCCUCAUCAUGCUGAGUUUCUGCUCAGGAAGGCUGAUAAGGGCGGGCCUGAGGAAGAACCGUGCCCAUCUUCCAAAAGGCAGAGGCCUGGCUUGCCUUUGUUGGCCCUGGUGUCUAAACAGAAGCUUCUCUCCCUAUCUCUUGCCCUUGUGAGGAAGAGUCUCUUCCCUGCCCCGGAGUAGUAGUGAGGAUGACCCAAGUGGACUUAGGCUGCGGUUGCGAGAACCCAGCCAGCAGAGCAUGUUACAGUGACCAUCAUGGCAGUCAUGUGCUGGAUGUUAAAUGGAGGAGGGGCAGUGAUAUUACCAGAUAACUCGUUUCUUUUGCCAAUUCAUUUAAUAAAAUACUGAAAAUAUUAUUUCUAA
Canis lupus familiaris (dog) is the source of this 4792-nucleotide RNA transcript. It is a transcript of the gene named nucleotide binding oligomerization domain containing 1, with no coding region annotated. The record is from RefSeq and is a predicted model, not a curated record. NCBI's taxonomy places the organism in Eukaryota, Metazoa, Chordata, Mammalia, Carnivora, Canidae. The transcript has 15 exons.